AUUGGAUGUUUCACAUCAAAAAUCCUAUUUUUAAGAAGUACACAAAGAAAGAAGAUCAUUACAAGAAUGGUCUUUCCUUCAUUCCUACACCCUUUUGGAAAAAGAUGGUGGAUAAAUGGAUGGAUGGAGAAUGAGGGGAUGGUACUAGCAGAGAUGAAGAGGACAACUCAAACAAUAACAUGGAGGUUGAAAGCAACUUGGAGGGUGACCUAGAGGAAAACUAAUAUAGAUCUUUUCAUAAUUCUAGUUGUUUAAAACAAUAUUUUUAUGUCAUGGUUUAAUUUCAGGAUUUUUUUGUAUAUUCUAUAUUAUAAAGUUUGAACUUAUAAGAAUUUUUAUGUUUCAAUGGAUCAAUUUUUAGUAA
This is a long non-coding RNA of Quercus robur (English oak), 364 nucleotides long. RefSeq lists it as uncharacterized. The record is from RefSeq and is a predicted model, not a curated record. The transcript is spliced from 2 exons. Lineage: Eukaryota; Viridiplantae; Streptophyta; Magnoliopsida; Fagales; Fagaceae.